This 253-nucleotide ribosomal RNA is filed under the name uncultured bacterium. Its description in RNAcentral is "partial 16S ribosomal RNA". It matches the Rfam family "Bacterial small subunit ribosomal RNA", at positions 524 to 776 of the family's 1533-position model. The record is from RNAcentral.
UACGUAGGUAGCGAGCGUUGUUCGGAGUUACUGGGCGUAAAGCGUGCGUAGGCGGUCCCACAAGUCUGUUGUGAAAUCUCCCGGCUCAACUGGGAGGGUGCGGUGGAAACUGUGGGGCUGGAGUGUGGGAGAGGUAGGCGGAAUUCCUGGUGUAGCGGUGAAAUGCGUAGAUAUCAGGAGGAACACCUGCGGUGUAGACGGCUUACUGGACCACUACUGACGCUGAGGCACGAAAGCGUGGGGAGCAAACAGG